Molecule: ribosomal RNA, 366 nt
Filed under: uncultured bacterium
Lineage: Bacteria
Description: bacterial SSU rRNA
Rfam family: Bacterial small subunit ribosomal RNA
Source: RNAcentral
GAUAAACGCUGGCGGCGUGCCUAACACAUGCAAGUCGAACGAUCCCGCAAGGGAGAGUGGCGGAAGGGUGAGUAACACGUGGGAAUCUACCUCCUCGCAGGGGAACAACCUCUCGAAAGAGAGGCUAAUACCCAAAGGGUCAGAAAUGAUCAGAGUCGAAAGGCGUGAGGAGAGGAGCCCGCGGCCCAUCAGCUAGUUGGUGAGGUAAUGGCUUACCAAGGCUACGACGGGUAGGGGAUCUGAGAGGAUGUCCCCCACACUGGAACUGAAACACGGUCCAGACGCCUACGGGUGGCAGCAGUGAGGAAUAUUGGACAAUGGGCGAAAGCCCGAUCCAGCAACGCCGCGUGGAGGAUGAAGGCCUUC